AGGAUUCCCCCAGUAGCGGCGAGCGAAGUGGGAAGAGCCCCAAAUGAAAAGCCUGCUUGCCGGCGUUGUAAUUGAGCGGUCCGGGUGCGUCAGUGCAGGUAAGUGCCAUGGAAAUGGUCGCCGUGGAGGGUGAGAGCCCCGUCCAGCCUGCACAGGGCGUUGCUGUACGAGACUGUCUCGGGAGAGUCGGGUAGCUUGGGAAUGCUGCUCUAAGCGGUGGUAAAUUUCAUCGAAGGCUAAAUACUGCUGGAAGACCGAUAGCGAACAAGUACCGUGAGGGAAAGAUGAAAAGCACUUUGAAAAGAGGGUGAAAAGAAUCUGAAACCGUUAUGAGGGAAGCGGAUUGCGUUGAAUUGACGGGUGCCGGUGUGUUCAGCUUGCUUCGGCGGGUGUAGUGACAUUGGAUGCUUAUUUGCUGUGAAUUUCUGGUCGCUGAUUGUGGGCAGCUGGAGGUUGAGGGCUCCAUGAAUUUUUGUGUGAGGACAGCAGAGUGACGACGCGAUACGACCCGUCUUGAAACACGGACCAAGGAGUCUAGCACGGCUGCGAGUCUGAGGGUGCAAGCUCGAGGGCGCAGUGAAAGCAAUGCAGAAUGUGUCAGUUUAGGGCGGCAGGCGAUCGUUGAUUGCAUGUCCGACCCGGAGCAGUCGUGGUGGUACCCGAAAGAUGGUGAACUAUUCCUGAGUAGGGUGAAGCCGGA
RNAcentral lists this ribosomal RNA (700 nucleotides) under Asparagopsis armata. RNAcentral's name for it is "LSU rRNA". It matches the Rfam family "Eukaryotic large subunit ribosomal RNA", at positions 71 to 856 of the family's 3401-position model. Lineage: Eukaryota; Rhodophyta; Florideophyceae; Bonnemaisoniales; Bonnemaisoniaceae. The record is from RNAcentral.